CUGGCAGUGCGUCUUAAGCAUGCAAGUCAAACGGAAUGUAGCAAUACAUUCAGUGGCGAACGGGUGAGUAACGCGUGGAUGAUCUACCUAUGAGAUGGGGAUAACUAUUAGAAAUAGUAGCUAAUACCGAAUAAGGUCAGUUAAUUUGUUAAUUGAUGAAAGGAAGCCUUUAAAGCUUCGCUUGUAGAUGAGUCUGCGUCUUAUUAGCUAGUUGGUAGGGUAAAUGCCUACCAAGGCAAUGAUAAGUAACCGGCCUGAGAGGGUGAACGGUCACACUGGAACUGAGAUACGGUCCAGACUCCUACGGGAGGCAGCAGCUAAGAAUCUUCCGCAAUGGGCGAAAGCCUGACGGAGCGACACUGCGUGAAUGAAGAAGGUCGAAAGAUUGUAAAAUUCUUUUAUAAAUGAGGAAUAAGCUUUGUAGGAAAUGACAAAGUGAUGACGUUAAUUUAUGAAUAAGCCCCG
Molecule: ribosomal RNA, 465 nt
Filed under: Borreliella burgdorferi (Lyme disease spirochete)
Lineage: Bacteria; Pseudomonadati; Spirochaetota; Spirochaetia; Spirochaetales; Borreliaceae
Description: bacterial SSU rRNA
Rfam family: Bacterial small subunit ribosomal RNA
Source: RNAcentral